This is a non-coding RNA of Theobroma cacao (cacao), 1472 nucleotides long. The record is from RefSeq and is a predicted model, not a curated record. NCBI's taxonomy places the organism in Eukaryota, Viridiplantae, Streptophyta, Magnoliopsida, Malvales, Malvaceae.
GCCGACAGCAGAAACCACGCUCGCAAGUCUCUUAUCCCUCAAAGGAAAAACCAGUGUCCGAAGCUUCUUCCCAAAAUAUCUGCUCUCUCUCUCUCUCUAUUCCGGAGUCGGGAGCCUUUUUCCGACGUCGUAUUCAACAUGGCUUUAGGAUCUUGUUCAUUCAAUCCAACACGGCUAACCUCCCUUCCGUUCCCUUCAAAAAAUGCCCUUAAAACCGCCAAAAAUCCUCUCUACAUGAGCACGGCGUCGUUCAAGUUGCUCUGUGUUCGGGCUUCUGCCUGGAACUCCGCCUCGAAAGCCCGUUUCGUUGCGCGUCGGAAGGAGUCCGUUUCGGUUCGGCAGUUGAAACGCCCUCUAAUUGAGUAUAUGAGACUACCAGCGAGCCAAUACUCGGUGCUGGAUGCAGAGAGGAUAGAGAGGAUAGAUGAUAAUACGUUUAGGUGCUAUGUCUAUAGGUUCAAGUUUUUUAAUUUUGAGGUUUGCCCUGUUUUGCUUGUUAGGGUUGAAGAACAGCCUAAUGGCUGCUGUAUUAAGCUCUUGUCUUGUAAGCUGGAUGGGUCACCAAUUGUGGUUGCACAAAAUGAUAAGUUUGAUGCUUCUAUGGUGAAUCAAAUAACUUGUGAUACCAACCGAAGUGGCUCAUUAGUUCAAGAACUUACAUCAGAUGCAAUUAUUGAGGUUAGCAUUGAGGUUCCUUUUGCGUUUAGACCAAUUCCAUUGGGAAUGAUUGAAUCAACUGGGACACAAGUCCUUGAACAAAUACUUAGGCUAAUGCUGCCCCGCUUUAUGGCACAGGUUUCAUUUUUGGAAUGAGUUUUUCCUCUUAAACAAAUCAAGCAUUUACAUGAUUAGAUGAAUGGCAUCAACAAAUAGCUGCUGGUUGAAUGGUGUUCCAGACUAUUCUUUUUUUGUUUGGUUUUAGCCAUCCUUGCUGACUGCUGACUCCCAUUUGCAGCAAGUUAUUAUUGAAGUAGCAUACUACUUUACCGAUGGGGAGAAGAAUAAUGCAUGCUAGAGCAAGAGAAAGACAAAAACAGCGAAAAAUGGUGGCUGCAGCAGGGGAGAGGAGCAGGAGAAACAGCUAUCAUCCACAUAACUACUGGAUGAAUGUUUUAAGGAUUUCUAAUUCUUGUUAAAGACUAUCAAGCAUGGGCUUCUGGUGAUGCCUCAAGGCAACCUCUUGGAACUGGUGAGAUUUGAGAUUUAAGAGGGAAAAGAUUUACUUGCACUCUCUUCAAAAUCAUCUGCUUCUUCAAUUUUGCCAGCAUAUGUAAUUGUACGAUAGGCGCAUGUCAGAAUAUCUCUGCUCUAGGUGCACCGAUUUACUUGAAUUUGUUUUCAUUAGGGAGGGAAAAAUCAUAUAAGAUAUUCUUUGUAUUUAAUGUGAACGACAGAUUCUAAUUACAACUUCCUGUAGUCCCAGUUUCACUUCAAUCUAUUCCAAUGAUGAUUGGAAUUCUUAUGACUGCUAA